CCAGUUAGUCUGUUACCCCUUUAAUCUGCAUGCUCUUUCUGGUAACCUAUUGGCAUUUGCAUUUGUGACAGGUAUUCGAAAAAUUGGUGGCAGAACGACUUUCUUGAAAGGCAGAAUGAAAAAAAUGAGAAGGUUUAGAGUCACUAAGGAGAUGGAGAAGCAACUAGGUCAUGAGAUCCAAUAUUGUUACCAGCAGUAGUUAAUUGAACCUGACAGAACAGAAUUGAAAAUGUAGACAUUUGAAGACGAACUCAUCAGCUGUAAAAAAGGUGCUGUGGAUCUAAUUACAGAAGCACACAGAUGUCAUCACAAAUACAGCUUUAAGGCCCAGGAUGUAAGUUCAGGGUUUGAAGCCCAGACCUCCGUUGAGAAGGAAAGAAGGAGUAUCAGAUUAAAUCUUUUUGUGUGUAGAAGCUCCCAAAGUAAGUUUUGGUUUGAACUGUGUUUCCCCACAGUAAACUGUAGUUUCAAUGUGUUUGAGAAAACUAACAUAUUUUAUUUUUCCUUGCCAUUUCUUUCUUUCUUUCUUUUCUUGUUUUCUUUUAUUUACAAAAGAAGUCACUUUCUG
RNAcentral lists this long non-coding RNA (568 nucleotides) under Vulpes vulpes (red fox). Its description in RNAcentral is "lncRNA (ENSVVUG00000000201.1)". Lineage: Eukaryota; Metazoa; Chordata; Mammalia; Carnivora; Canidae. The record is from RNAcentral.